GGAAGGAUCAUUAACAAUACAUGUUGAGGGACACCGAUGAAGGCUUCACAGCUAACAGAACGUGGCCCUCAAAUCAUACAUACCUUCCCCAUAUAAGCCUCACAAGGGUUUAUAUGGGGGACCGUCAAGAGCUACGACAGUACUGAAAAGUAUUGGCAUAGUUUGGGGCGGAACACUCACAUUUAACAUUUGACAACAAUGGAGAACCACUUAUGGUAAACGUUGAAACAACUUUUAACAAUGGAUCUCUAGGCUCUUGCAACGAUGAAGAACGCAGCAAACUGCGAAACGUCAUGUGACCUGCACUCUUCGUGAAUCAUCCAAUCUUUGAACGCACUUUGCACCUCGUGGCUUUUGUCACAAGGUAUACUUGUUUGAGUAUCUAAAACAACCUCACUCCUCCUCUGGGAUGAAGUGGACCUGAAUUUCGAUGAAACGCUAUCAAAAUAGCGUAGAGUCGUUAUUUUAAAUAAGGAUUGACCUCUCUCUUUUUAUCCAAGAAGAGAGGGUGGGACGCCUUCGUUGGAGUCUUGACAGAGUCAUUGGGAUAACAUCUCAACAAUCGCCUGUCAAGUGCCUUUCUUGUAAUAGGGAAAGGAAAAAACGUUGGCCAACCUUGUCAUACGUGAUAGGACGGGGGUGAAUAUGUGUCUUGCAAAAGAAACAUGUUGGCUUUUUUCCACUUUUGUGAAAUAGAUCUCAAAUCAAGUAAGGAUACCCGCUGAACUUAAGCAUAUCAGUAAGCGGAGGAAAAGAAACUAACAAGGAUUCCCCUAGUAACGGCGAGUGAAGAGGGAAGAGCUCAAAUUUAAAAUCUGUCUACUUUUAGUAGUCUGAAUUGUAAUUGAGAGGGUGUUCUUUUUGGACGACCGAUGGCCAAAGUUCUCUGGAAAGGGACAACAAAGAGGGUGACAUUCCCGUCUGGGUCAUUGGAAAGCCAUACACAAAGAAUACUCCAAGAGUCGGAUUGUUUGGGAAUGCAGUCCAAAAUGGGUGGUACAUUUCAUCUAAAGCUAAAUAUUGGCAAGAGACCGAUAGCGAACAAGUACCGUGAGGGAAAGAUGAAAAGAACUUUGAAAAGAGAGUUAAAUAGUACGUGAAAUUGUUAAAAGGGAAACGAUUGAGACCAGUGAUGUUGCUUGUCCUCAAGCGUUCCUCUUGGGGAGCGUGUAUGGGCAGGUGUAACAAGUUGACGCUCCUUUGAGACUUUGGAUAAGACGUAAGGAAAGGUGGCGCUGUCUUCGGAUAGUUGCUUUAUAGUCCUAACGGGAUACAAAGACUUGGAGGAGUCAAGUAGGGUGCAAACUCACGUCGACGAAAUGGUCUUAAACGACCCGUCUUGAAACACGGACCAAGGAGUCUAACAACUAUGCGAGUAUUUGAGUGGUUAAAACUCGAAUGCGUAAAGAAACUGAACGCGUGGGAUCGUGUCUUCUCCGGAAGGUACGUGCACCAUGGGCCGGUCCUUGACGUGUCUUGGAUUGCGCUAGAGCAUAUCUGUUGGGACCCGAAAGAUGGUGAACUAUGCCUGAAUAGGGUGAAGCCAGGGGAAACUCUGGUGGAGGCUCGUAGACAUUCUGACGUGCAAAUCGAUGUUCAAAUUUGGGUAUAGGGGCGAAAGACUAAUCGAACCAUCUAGUAGCUGGUUCCCUC
RNAcentral lists this unclassified non-coding RNA (1653 nucleotides) under uncultured fungus. RNAcentral's name for it is "sequence contains 18S rRNA gene, ITS1, 5.8S rRNA gene, ITS2, 28S rRNA gene". The stretch from base 695 to 1653 matches the Rfam family "Eukaryotic large subunit ribosomal RNA", at positions 1 to 961 of the family's 3401-position model. The record is from RNAcentral. Lineage: Eukaryota; Fungi.